RNAcentral lists this ribosomal RNA (250 nucleotides) under uncultured Dorea sp. Its description in RNAcentral is "partial 16S ribosomal RNA". It matches the Rfam family "Bacterial small subunit ribosomal RNA", at positions 524 to 773 of the family's 1533-position model. The record is from RNAcentral. Lineage: Bacteria; Bacillati; Bacillota; Clostridia; Lachnospirales; Lachnospiraceae.
UACGUAGGGGGCAAGCGUUAUCCGGAUUUACUGGGUGUAAAGGGAGCGUAGACGGCACGGCAAGCCAGAUGUGAAAGCCCGGGGCUCAACCCCGGGACUGCAUUUGGAACUGCUGAGCUAGAGUGUCGGAGAGGCAAGCGGAAUUCCUAGUGUAGCGGUGAAAUGCGUAGAUAUUAGGAGGAACACCAGUGGCGAAGGCGGCUUGCUGGACGAUGACUGACGUUGAGGCUCGAAAGCGUGGGGAGCAAAC